Molecule: non-coding RNA, 132 nt
Filed under: Syntrophaceticus schinkii
Lineage: Bacteria; Bacillati; Bacillota; Clostridia; Thermoanaerobacterales; Thermoanaerobacterales Family III. Incertae Sedis
Description: MoCo sequence
Rfam family: Molybdenum/Tungsten riboswitch aptamer (Moco RNA motif)
Source: Rfam by way of RNAcentral
AAAUAUGAAUAACUCCGAUUUAGCUCUUCUAAAGCAUCAGCUAUGGGGGCUAAACGCAUGCAUUAAUGCUGUAGGGUAGAGGGGAAACCCGGAUACCUCCCAACCUUGGAAAGGAGUUGCUCACGUAAAAAA